UACAAACUGUGGUCUGAAUAGACAGCUCACCAGCUGGAAUAAUUAAAUUCUAUUGGGUCAAGAAUCCUGUUACGUCCUCAGCACCAUUUUUUCGAGAAAAAUCGAUGGUCCAGUUUCAAGCAUGCAGCACAAUUAUUGACUGCAGCACUCCUCACUUCCAAACCAUCAGGAGUGGUGCUUUCAAGAACAAAAACAAAAUUGCUGGAAGGCUCAACAGGUCGGGUAGCAUCUGCGAAGGGAAAAAAAGUCAACGUUUCAGGUCCGGUGA
Long non-coding RNA from Rhincodon typus (whale shark), 268 nucleotides. RefSeq lists it as uncharacterized. Lineage: Eukaryota; Metazoa; Chordata; Chondrichthyes; Orectolobiformes; Rhincodontidae. The transcript is spliced from 3 exons. The record is from RefSeq and is a predicted model, not a curated record.